RNAcentral lists this ribosomal RNA (463 nucleotides) under uncultured bacterium. RNAcentral's name for it is "bacterial SSU rRNA". It matches the Rfam family "Bacterial small subunit ribosomal RNA", at positions 29 to 507 of the family's 1533-position model. The record is from RNAcentral.
GUUAACGCUGGCGGCGUGCCUAACACAUGCAAGUCGAACGGUUCUAAGCGCGAGCUUAGGAUAGUGGCGAACGGGUGAGUAAAAGGUAGGAAUCUACCCCUUGGACGGAGAUAGCUACUGGAAACGGUAGGUAAACUUCGAUAAGCCCGAGAGGGGAAAGUGGUGAGACAGCCGAGGGAUGAGCCUACUCUCCAUCAGGUAGUUGGUGAGAUAAAAGCUUACCAAGCCGAUGACGGAUAACCGGUGUGAGAGCAUGAACGGUCACAAGGGCACUGAGAGACGGGCCCUACUCCUACGGGAGGCAGCAGUGGGGAAUCUUGGACAAUGGGCGAAAGCCUGAUCCAGCGACGCCGCGUGGAGGAAGAAGUCCUUCGGGAUGUAAACUUCUGAACUAGCCGAAUAAAAGGCCUGUGGACACACAGGAGAAGAAAGUAGGCUAGGAAAAGUCCCGGCUAACUACGUG